Molecule: long non-coding RNA, 260 nt
Filed under: Ananas comosus (pineapple)
Lineage: Eukaryota; Viridiplantae; Streptophyta; Magnoliopsida; Poales; Bromeliaceae
Description: long non-coding RNA (ACOM_LNC032029)
Source: RNAcentral
UCCAUUCACUCUACUUUUUCGUGACCAAUAAUCAGUAUGAUCACCACGCAAGUGGUAAAAGAUUUGGUGUUUAGUAUUCGAGGUCUCGAAUUCGAAUUUUACAGUUAGCUGUAUUUCUAAAGCACUGCGUAUUGCGUCCUAAUUUUAUUUUUAUAAUAAUAUCAGAUGAAUCUUAAUACCAAAUUAAGUCUGUAUCAUCAAAUUCGACGAGGGAGGAGGGGAGGGUACGAGAUUUGUUUAAAGAGAAAAAAACAAAAAAG